CCAUCUUGCGACCGUGUUACAGGGCAGCGAGUGUGCUUGGUGGGGAUAAUUGAGUCACUUGUGGGAGCAUUUACCAUUCUAAGGUGGGACAAAUACUAUCCCUGUUUCUCAGCUGUAGAAACUGGAAUGCUGAAAGGUUAAGCAACGUUCACGAAGUUCCACAGUAGCAGUGUGCUUGUCAUAUUAGUGAUGUGGCCAGUCUGGAAGACUGCAGGGCACUCC
Molecule: long non-coding RNA, 222 nt
Organism: Lontra canadensis (Northern American river otter)
Lineage: Eukaryota; Metazoa; Chordata; Mammalia; Carnivora; Mustelidae
Exons: 3
Source: RefSeq, a predicted model, not a curated record